RNAcentral lists this ribosomal RNA (499 nucleotides) under uncultured bacterium. Its description in RNAcentral is "partial 16S ribosomal RNA". It matches the Rfam family "Bacterial small subunit ribosomal RNA", at positions 27 to 507 of the family's 1533-position model. The record is from RNAcentral.
GGACGAACGCUGGCGGCGUGCCUAAUCCAUGCAAGUCGAGCGGACGGCUGGGAGCUUGCUCCCAGACCGUCAGCGGCGGACGGGUGAGUAACACGUGGGCAACCUGCCUGUAAGACUGGGAUAACUCCGGGAAACCGGGGCUAAUACCGGAUAACUCUUUCCCUCACAUGAGGGAAAGCUGAAAGAUGGCAUCUCGCUAUCACUUACAGAUGGGCCCGCGGCGCAUUAGCUAGUUGGUGAGGUAACGGCUCACCAAGGCGACGAUGCGUAGCCGACCUGAGAGGGUGAUCGGCCACACUGGGACUGAGACACGGCCCAGACUCCUACGGGAGGCAGCAGUAGGGAAUCUUCCGCAAUGGACGAAAGUCUGACGGAGCAACGCCGCGUGAGUGAUGAAGGUUUUCGGAUCGUAAAACUCUGUUGUCAGGGAAGAACAAGUACCGGAGUAACUGCCGGUACCUUGACGGUACCUGACCAGAAAGCCACGGCUAACUACGUG